CAUUAAGAGCCAAGAAGGAAUGCCAAGAAUGAGUAUUUUUACUCAAAACCCCUUAACUAUAGCAGUGCUUGGAACCUUAUCCUCCCCAAAAGAAAUGUCUCUGUCCUUUGUCAUAGAGGAGAGUGCUUCUCUUUCACUAUAAGCAGGGAGCUUGGCAAGAUGGGGUUUAGAGUGUGCUUUGAGUGUUCUUUUAUUCUGCACUUUUUGAUUCUCUUUGUAAUAACAUUAGAAUCAAACCACAUGAGUUAAUAAAUGGUAAUCCCACAGACCUUAAUGGAAGAAGAAGGUUCAGUGAGUCUAUUUUUCCUGUAAUGCAGCAAAGAGAGUUCAGAAGAUGAUGCCCACUUCCCUCAACUGCAAAGCUGAGGCUGAAACCCAAGCAGAAAUAUCACACUUGAGUUGGUGUCUCCAGUCAAAGAGAUCUGCCAAAAACUAAAGUACUUGUCCAGAAUAUUGUUGCUCCAGUACCUGAAAAUCCCUCUAGCAUCCAUCCCUACCAGUGGAUGUCUUAGCUGCAAGUGGACCCAGCUGGAAGACACCUCCAGACAAUUUUCUGAGUUACAGGAAGAGUUCAACGGGCAGUGGAGGACCUGGGAAUGUGAGGGGAAGGAAAGUGACUGCCUCUGCCCUCUGAAGUGGAUGUCAGCUGACUAGAGGAAUGGAAGGACCUUUCCCAAGGAAAUUUGUCACCUGCUGAAGGCUGAAGACAUCCCUGAAUGAAAUACAAUUGCACACCAUUCACGGUCUACCUAAAGUCACCCCAGUAGUGUUGUUCCUGCAGCAGGUUUGCCUUCACCAAGAGACCAUCGUUGCUGUUCCACAGCCUGCACUGAGAGAAUUCCUUGGUACCUGUGUGCCUCUCUCCAUUUCAUUUCCCACAUGCAGCUUCUGACAACUCUCUGCUUCCUAACAUCCUUUCCACCUUCCAUCCUGCCUGGCCACUUAUGCCCAGAGAACAGUCCCCUACAAGGCAUAUGUCCUGAUCUGAUAAAAUAGUUUCAGCAUGAGAAACUACAGCAUGUGCCAUUUCCCUGGCACAUUUCACACAUCUUGUGAACCAUUUCAAAGCUCAUAUGCCUUGCCCUUUGGUGGACUCGAGCACAUAUGCAUGACAUUAAACUGUCAUCUCUGCCUUUAGCUAUGUUCUGUGACAUCUCACAUGCUUCUCUGAUUGUAAUUUGACAGAACAAGGAAAGAAUUUCAUUCUUCUCUGCAGAUUUUCUUC
RNAcentral lists this long non-coding RNA (1225 nucleotides) under Parus major (Great Tit). RNAcentral describes it as "lncRNA (ENSPMJG00000003685.1)". Lineage: Eukaryota; Metazoa; Chordata; Aves; Passeriformes; Paridae. The record is from RNAcentral.